RNAcentral lists this ribosomal RNA (403 nucleotides) under uncultured bacterium. RNAcentral describes it as "partial 16S ribosomal RNA". It matches the Rfam family "Bacterial small subunit ribosomal RNA", at positions 28 to 526 of the family's 1533-position model. The record is from RNAcentral.
GACGAACGCUGGCGGCGUGCCUAAUACAUGCAAGUCGAACGCAGUGGGGACGGGUGAGUAAACCGUGGGUAACCUCCCAUCAGAGGGGAUAACACUUGGAAACAGGUACUAAACCGAUACUGAUGGAUGGACCCGCGGUGCAUUAGCUAGUUGGUGGGGUAACGGCUCACCAAGUCCCCGUUGCAUAGCCGGUCUGAGAGGGUGAUCGGCCACACUGGAACUGAGACACGGCCCAGACUCCUACGGGAGGCAGCAGUAGGGAAUCUUCGGCAAUGGACGCAAGGCUGACCGAGCAACGCCGCGUGAGUGAAGAAGGUUUUCGGAUCGUAAAACUCUGUUGUUAGAGAAGCGGUAUCUAACGAGAAAGCCACGGCUAACUACGUGCCAGCAGCCGCGGUAAUUC